Molecule: ribosomal RNA, 497 nt
Filed under: uncultured bacterium
Lineage: Bacteria
Description: partial 16S ribosomal RNA
Rfam family: Bacterial small subunit ribosomal RNA
Source: RNAcentral
GAUGAACGCUGGCGGCGUGCCUAAUACAUGCAAGUCGAGCGAACAGACGAGGAGCUUGCUCCUCUGACGUUAGCGGCGGACGGGUGGGUAACACGUGGAUAACCUACCUAUAAGACUGGGAUAACUUCGGGAAACCGGAGCUAAUACCGGAUAAUAUAUUGAACCGCAUGGUUCAAUAGUGAAAGACGGUUUUGCUGUCACUUAUAGAUGGAUCCGCGCCGCAUUAGCUAGUUGGUAAGGUAACGGCUUACCAAGGCAACGAUGCGUAGCCGACCUGAGAGGGUGAUCGGCCACACUGGAACUGAGACACGGUCCAGACUCCUACGGGAGGCAGCAGUAGGGAAUCUUCCGCAAUGGGCGAAAGCCUGACGGAGCAACGCCGCGUGAGUGAUGAAGGUCUUCGGAUCGUAAAACUCUGUUAUUAGGGAAGAACAAAUGUGUAAGUAACUAUGCACGUCUUGACAGUACCUAAUCAGAAAGCCACGGCUAACUACGUG